This 404-nucleotide ribosomal RNA is filed under the name uncultured bacterium. Its description in RNAcentral is "partial 16S ribosomal RNA". It matches the Rfam family "Bacterial small subunit ribosomal RNA", at positions 28 to 526 of the family's 1533-position model. The record is from RNAcentral.
GACGAACGCUGGCGGCGUGCCUAAUACAUGCAAGUCGAACGCAGUGGGGACGGGUGAGUAACACGUGGGUAACCUCCCCAUCCGCGGGGAUAACACUUGGAAACAGGUGCUAAACCGAUACUGUUGGCUUCACCCUCGGUGCAUUAGCUAGUUGGUGAGGUAACGGCUCACCAAGGCCACGAUGCAUAGCCGAACUGAGAGGGUGAUCGUCCACACUGGGACUGAGACACGGCCAAGACUCCUACGGAGGGCAGCAGUAGGGAAUCUUCGGCAAUGGACGAAAGGCUGACCGAGCAACGCCGCGGGAGUGAAGAAGGUUUUCGGAUCGUAAAACUCUGUUGGUAGAGAAGCGGUAGCUAACCAGAAAGCCACGGCUAACGACGUGCCAGCCGCCGCGGUAAUAC